This 833-nucleotide long non-coding RNA is filed under the name Cricetulus griseus (Chinese hamster). RNAcentral's name for it is "lncRNA (ENSCGRG00015037863.1)". Lineage: Eukaryota; Metazoa; Chordata; Mammalia; Rodentia; Cricetidae. The record is from RNAcentral.
AAUAAAAUGUGUGUUGCAACAUGAGCCACUUAAGCAAUAACUCAUAAAACUGCUGGUUGUAUUCUAGCAUGGAAGGAAAAAGGGCUCAUUAGUCUUUUCCCAACUUAAGGAUCCAUGGACAGAUUCCAAAACAUUAAUCCUUGGGAAGGGCCAGCAAAUGUUAGAUUGACUCCCAAGUUACAGUGAGAAGUUGAAGCACACUGUGAGUUUUAAGGUUUACAAACAGACUGUAAUGAACAGUCACGGCCACGCUUAUUGAAGCAUUAAUUGAAAAGCUUUUCUUCAGACUAUAUCAAGGGCCCUGUACUCCUAACAUCUGCAUAUUUUUAGCCCUAUGAGAUAUCCUCAGAGUGCUCUCACCAGAAGAUAGCAAUUACUGCUCCCAAUAGAGCCUUCAUCCAGUAGCUGAGGGAAGCAGAAGCAGACACCCACAGCUAAACACUGAGCUGAACUCUGGAAUCCAGUUGCAGAGGAGGAAUGAUGAGCAAAGGUCAAGACCAGGCUGAAGAAACCCACAGAAACAACUGACCUGAACAAGGGGUUGCUCAUGGACCCCCAGACUGAUAGCCGAGAAUCUAACAUAGGACUAUUCCAGACCCCCUGAAGGAGGAAGUCAGUUUGGAGGUCUGGACAAUCUAUGGGGCCUCUGGUAUUAGAUCAGUAUUUACCCUUAGUACACAAAUGAACUUUGGGAGCCCUCUCCACAUAAAGGGAUAUUCUCUCAGCCUAGACACACUGGAGAGGGACUAGACCCUGCUCAAAAUGUUAUGACAGACUUUGAAGAUCCCCAUGGAAAGCCUCACCCUUCCUGGGGAGCAGAAAGUACUAGGGAU